RNAcentral lists this transfer RNA (119 nucleotides) under Pseudomonadales bacterium. RNAcentral's name for it is "tRNA-Ser". Lineage: Bacteria; Pseudomonadati; Pseudomonadota; Gammaproteobacteria; Pseudomonadales. The record is from RNAcentral.
UCGCCAAGAUAACAGGCACUAUCAAAACUUAAACCAUUGUUUUUUAUGUAUUAUUCAGGAGUUUCAGCACCAGGCUUCGAACCUGGGUGUCGGGAGUUCGAAUCUCUCUGGGCGGGCCA